CGGCCGGCAGGGGUUAAGUCCACUGGAAAGUGGCGCCACAGAGGGUGACAGCCCCGUGAACCCCUUUAAAGCCCUCAUCCCAGAUCUCCAAGAGUCGAGUUGUUUGGGAAUGCAGCUCUAAGUGGGUGGUAAAUUCCAUCUAAAGCUAAAUACCGGCGAGAGACCGAUAGCGAACAAGUACAGUGAUGGAAAGAUGAAAAGCACUUUGAAAAGAGAGUGAAAAAGUACGUGAAAUUGUUGAAAGGGAAGGGCUUGCAAGCAGACACUUAACUGGGCCAGCAUCGGGGCGGCGGGGAGCAAAACCACCGGGGAAUGUACCUUUCGAGGAUUAUAACCCCGGUCCUUACUCCCUCACCAUCCCGAGGCCUGCAAUCUAAGGAUGCUGGCGUAAUGGUUGCAAGUCGCCCGUCUUGAAACACGG
RNAcentral lists this ribosomal RNA (421 nucleotides) under Metschnikowia pulcherrima. RNAcentral's name for it is "eukaryotic LSU rRNA". It matches the Rfam family "Eukaryotic large subunit ribosomal RNA", at positions 168 to 664 of the family's 3401-position model. The record is from RNAcentral. Lineage: Eukaryota; Fungi; Ascomycota; Pichiomycetes; Serinales; Metschnikowiaceae.